UAGGGAAUCUUCCGCAAUGGGCGACAGCCUGACGGAGCAACGCCGCGUGAGUGAUGAAGGUCUUCGGUUCGUAAAACUCUGUUAUUAGGGAAGAACAAAUGUGUAAGUAACUAUGCACGUCUUGACGGUACCUAAUCAGAAAGCCACGGCUAACUACGUGCCAGCAGCCGCGGUAAUACGUAGGUGGCAAGCGUUAUCCGGAAUUAUUGGGCGUAAAGCGCGCGUAGGCGGUUUUUUAAGUCUGAUGUGAAAGCCCACGGCUCAACCGUGGAGGGGCAUUGGAAACUGGAAAACUUGAGUGCAGAAGAGGAAAGUGGAAUUCCAUGUGUAGAGGUGAAAUGCGCAGAGAUAUGGAGGAACACCAGUGGCGAAGGCGACUUUCUGGUCUGUAACUGACGCUGAUGUGCGAAAGCGUGGGGAUCAAACAGG
This 429-nucleotide ribosomal RNA is filed under the name Actinomycetes bacterium. RNAcentral describes it as "Actinobacteria bacterium partial 16S ribosomal RNA". It matches the Rfam family "Bacterial small subunit ribosomal RNA", at positions 355 to 776 of the family's 1533-position model. Lineage: Bacteria; Bacillati; Actinomycetota; Actinomycetes. The record is from RNAcentral.